Molecule: long non-coding RNA, 472 nt
Organism: Cucurbita maxima (winter squash)
Lineage: Eukaryota; Viridiplantae; Streptophyta; Magnoliopsida; Cucurbitales; Cucurbitaceae
Exons: 2
Source: RefSeq, a predicted model, not a curated record
AAAGUAUCCUACACCUUUCAAUCAAAGAUCAAUUUCAGUUUAUCAUUGCUUUUUAUACGAAAUGGCAAAGUUUUCUUGCUCCAUAAUCUUCAUUGGUUUCCUCCUAUUCUCAGCUGCAUGCAUGUUGUCGGUCAAUGCAAUACAAUGUGAAGAGAAGUUGUACGAAGGAUGCGUACCUAAAGACUGUAGCGAGAGAUGUUUGCAGAAGUUUCCCAAAUCAACAUCUGAAUGUGUUCCAAUUGGACAAAUCCCAUUUAACUAUAUUUGCUAUUGUUUCCAUGAUUGCUAGAAGAUGAUUAAUUUUGGUUUUUAUCACAGUCUCUAUUAAAUAAAACCGUUGAAUCUCUCUAUGAAUUCAACCAAUCCCUUGUAACUAUUUUAUUUUUGCUUUUGUUGUUGCUUCCAUGAUCGCUAGAAAGUGAUCAAUUCUGGUUUUUACCCGUCUCCAUUAAAGAAAAUGGUUGGAUGCCUC